UGGGGAAUAUUGCACAAUGGACGCAAGUCUGAUGCAGCAACGCCGCGUGGAGGAUGACGCAUUUCGGUGUGUAAACUCCUUUUAUAGGGGAAGAUAAUGACGGUACCCUAUGAAUAAGCACCGGCUAACUCCGUGCCAGCAGCCGCGGUAAUACGGAGGGUGCAAGCGUUACUCGGAAUCACUGGGCGUAAAGGAUGCGUAGGCUGGAAAUCAAGUCGAAAGUGAAAUCCAACGGCUCAACCGUUGAACUGCUUUCGAAACUGAUUACCUAGAAUAUGGGAGAGGUAGAUUGAAUUAGUGGUGUAGGCGUAAAAUCCGUAGAUAUCACUACGAAUACCGAUUGCGAAGGCGAUUUACUGGAACAUUAUUGACGCUGGGGCAUGAGAUCGUGUGGAGCAAACA
RNAcentral lists this ribosomal RNA (402 nucleotides) under uncultured prokaryote. RNAcentral's name for it is "bacterial SSU rRNA". It matches the Rfam family "Bacterial small subunit ribosomal RNA", at positions 355 to 774 of the family's 1533-position model. The record is from RNAcentral.